Molecule: non-coding RNA, 306 nt
Organism: Vicia faba (fava bean)
Lineage: Eukaryota; Viridiplantae; Streptophyta; Magnoliopsida; Fabales; Fabaceae
Source: the annotation of a GenBank genome assembly
AUGUGGGGGGGUGUUAAUACCUUCCCCUUGUAUAACCGACUCCCAAACCCUAUCUUUGUUACAACGAUCAUUUCUUUUCUUUCAUGGGUUUUAUCGAUAUUUUCUCAUUCUUUUGAAACAAAUAAAUGGCGACUCUAUUGUAUUUUGAGUGUUCUUUACGCUUGGGUAUUUUUUGCGCCACGACACCUACCACCUCUUUUCCAACUCCAAAUGGAAGAAUGUAGGUUUGUUAACUCUAACAUGGUUCAAAAAUUUUUGGCUGAAAGGUUUUUUGCUUCUGAUUCCAUAGUUCAUGCAGUUAAAUGA